Molecule: non-coding RNA, 107 nt
Filed under: Wenxinia saemankumensis
Lineage: Bacteria; Pseudomonadati; Pseudomonadota; Alphaproteobacteria; Rhodobacterales; Roseobacteraceae
Description: TPP sequence
Rfam family: TPP riboswitch aptamer (THI element)
About the family: Vitamin B(1) in its active form thiamin pyrophosphate (TPP) is an essential coenzyme that is synthesised by coupling of pyrimidine and thiazole moieties in bacteria. The previously detected thiamin-regulatory element, thi box was extended, resulting in a new, highly conserved RNA secondary structure, the THI element, which is widely distributed in eubacteria and also occurs in some archaea.
Source: Rfam by way of RNAcentral
CGGUCACACCAGGGGUGCCCCGGACGGGGCUGAGAUGCGCGGGACCGCGCGAACCCUUCACAGCUGAUCCGGGUCAUGCCGGCGGAGCGAGGUUCCCAUGUUCAUCG